GGAGGAAAAGAAACCAACAGGGAUUGCCCUAGUAACGGCGAGUGAAGCGGCAACAGCUCAAAUUUGAAAUCUGGCGCAAGCCCGAGUUGUAAUUUGGAGAGGAUGCUUCUGGGCAGCGGCCGUUCUAAGUUCCUUGGAACAGGACGUCAUAGAGGGUGAGAAUCCCGUAUGUGACCGGCGCGCACCCUCCACGUAGCUCCUUCGACGAGUCGAGUUGUUUGGGAAUGCAGCUCUAAAUGGGAGGUAAAUUUCUUCUAAAGCUAAAUACCGGCCAGAGACCGAUAGCGCACAAGUAGAGUGAUCGAAAGAUGAAAAGCACUUUGGAAAGAGAGUUAAAUAGCACGUGAAAUUGUUGAAAGGGAAGCGCUUGCAACCAGACUUGGCGGCGGUGUUCCGCCGGGCUUCUGCCCGGUCCACUCGCCGCCGCCAGGCCAACAUCAUCUGUGGCCGCCGGAGAAGACGCGGGGAAUGUGGCUCCCUCGGGAGUGUUAUAGCCCCGCUUGAUACGGCGCGCCGCGGGUGAGGUCCGCGCUUCGGCAAGGAUGUUGGCGUAAUGGUUGUCAGCGGCCCGUCUUGAAACACGGACCAAGGAGUCUAACAUCUAUGCGAGUGUUCGGGUGUCAAACCCUUGCGCGUAAUGAAAGUGAACGGAGGUGGGAACUUUUUGUGCACCAUCGACCGAUCCUGAUGUCCUCGGAUGGAUUUGAGUAAGAGCAUAGCUGUUGGGACCCGAAAGAUGGUGAACUAUGCCUGGAUAGGGUGAAGCCAGAGGAAACUCUGGUGGAGGCUCGCAGCGGUUCUGACGUGCAAAUCGAUCGUCAAAUUUGGGUAUAGGGGCGAAAGACUAAUCGAACCAU
RNAcentral lists this ribosomal RNA (857 nucleotides) under Schizothyrium pomi. RNAcentral describes it as "eukaryotic LSU rRNA". It matches the Rfam family "Eukaryotic large subunit ribosomal RNA", at positions 52 to 943 of the family's 3401-position model. Lineage: Eukaryota; Fungi; Ascomycota; Dothideomycetes; Mycosphaerellales; Schizothyriaceae. The record is from RNAcentral.